This 30-nucleotide non-coding RNA is filed under the name Mus musculus (house mouse). The record is from RNAcentral. Lineage: Eukaryota; Metazoa; Chordata; Mammalia; Rodentia; Muridae.
UGCAACAGCGAAUGUGAGGGCGGCUCCCUA